This 218-nucleotide unclassified non-coding RNA is filed under the name uncultured Tomentella. RNAcentral's name for it is "sequence contains ITS2". Lineage: Eukaryota; Fungi; Basidiomycota; Agaricomycetes; Thelephorales; Thelephoraceae. The record is from RNAcentral.
ACACCUCAACUCUCAUGGUUUGCCAUGACGAGCUUGGACUUUGGGGGUCUUGCCGGCCUAUGGUCGGCUCCUCUCAAACGGAUCAGCUUGCCAGUGUUUGGUGGCAUCACAGGUGUGAUAACUAUCUACGCUUGUGUUUUUCCGCCGGGUAACCUUCAGUCGUGGAGGUUCGCUGGAGCUCACAAACGUCUCUCCUCAGCGAGGGACAGCCUUUGAAC